RNAcentral lists this ribosomal RNA (292 nucleotides) under uncultured bacterium. RNAcentral describes it as "partial 16S ribosomal RNA". It matches the Rfam family "Bacterial small subunit ribosomal RNA", at positions 505 to 796 of the family's 1533-position model. The record is from RNAcentral.
GUGCCAGCAGCCGCGGUAAUACGUAGGGUGCAAGCGUUGUCCGGAAUUAUUGGGCGUAAAGAGCUCGUAGGCGGUCUGUCGCGUCUGCUGUGAAAACUCAGGGCUUAACCCUGAGCUUGCAGUGGGUACGGGCAGACUAGAGUGCGGUAGGGGAGACUGGAAUUCCUGGUGUAGCGGUGAAAUGCGCAGAUAUCAGGAGGAACACCGGUGGCGAAGGCGGGUCUCUGGGCCGUAACUGACGCUGAGGAGCGAAAGCAUGGGGAGCGAACAGGAUUAGAUACCCUGGUAGUCC